CCUACGGGUGGCAGCAGUAGGGAAUAUUGCUCAAUGGGGGAAACCCUGAAGCAGCAACGCCGCGUGGAGGAAGAAGGUUUUCGGGUUGUAAACCCCUUUUGUUAGGGAAGAAAAUGACGGUAUCUAACGAAUAAGCACCGGCUAACUCCGUGCCCGCAGCCGCGGUAAUACGGAGGGUGCAAGCGUUACUCGGAAUAACUGGGCGUAAAGAGCGCGUAGGCGGGAUCGCAAGUCAGAUGUGAAAUCCUAUGGCUUAACCAUAGAACUGCAUUUGAAACUGUUAUUCUAGAGUACGGGAGAGGUAGGUGGAAUUCGUGGUGUAGGGGUGAAAUCCGUAGAGAUCAAGAGGAAUACUCAUUGCGAAGGCGGCCUGCUAGAACAUAACUGACGCUGAGGCGCGAAAGCGUGGGGAGCAAACAGGAUUAGAUACCCGGGUAGUC
This 440-nucleotide ribosomal RNA is filed under the name uncultured bacterium. RNAcentral's name for it is "partial 16S ribosomal RNA". It matches the Rfam family "Bacterial small subunit ribosomal RNA", at positions 338 to 795 of the family's 1533-position model. The record is from RNAcentral.